RNAcentral lists this ribosomal RNA (533 nucleotides) under uncultured bacterium. RNAcentral describes it as "bacterial SSU rRNA". It matches the Rfam family "Bacterial small subunit ribosomal RNA", at positions 95 to 630 of the family's 1533-position model. The record is from RNAcentral.
ACGGCGCACGGGUGCGUAACACGUGGGUAAUCUGCCCUUCGAUGGGGAAUAACUCCGGGAAACCGAAGCUAAUUCCGCAUAACAUUCCUUGGACUUCGGUCCGAGGAUUCAAAGCCGUAAGGCGUCGGAGGAGGAACCCGCGCACGAUUAGGUAGUUGGCAGGGUAACGGCCUACCAAGCCUUUGAUCGUUAGCUGGUCUGAGAGGAUGGCCAGCCACACUGGAACUGAGACACGGUCCAGACUCCUACGGGAGGCAGCAGUGGGGAAUCUUGCACAAUGGGCGAAAGCCUGAUGCAGCGACGCCGCGUGGGGGAUGAAGCUUUUCGGAGUGUAAACCCCUUUCGACCCGGACGAAUACCUCGCAAGAGGGGUGACGGUACGGGUAUAAGAAGCCCCGGCUAACUACGUGCCAGCAGCCGCGGUAAGACGUGGGGGGCCAGCGUUGUUCGGAAUUACUGGGUGUAAAGGGUCAGUAGGCGGUGUGGCAAGUCGGGAGUGAAAUCUCUGGGCUCAACUCAGAGACUGCUUCCGA